This 2372-nucleotide long non-coding RNA is filed under the name Triticum aestivum (bread wheat). Its description in RNAcentral is "long non-coding RNA (TAES_LNC018458)". The record is from RNAcentral. Lineage: Eukaryota; Viridiplantae; Streptophyta; Magnoliopsida; Poales; Poaceae.
ACCCUCGUUGUGACUAAAGGAUCUUCCAUCAUUUACUCCUAGCCUUCUGUAUAUUCACUGGGAGCAAAAAAAAUGAGAUCAGAUUCCAUCAAAAUCGCAUGCAAGUUAGCAGACACCAUAAACCAAGUAAUAUGCUCCAGGAAAGUCAAAAGAUUCAGAUGUGCACACUACUAACUCCAAGAUGCACCAAAGAGGAUGAAGCCAACUGAAUGCCAGUUCAAACUGAAAGCUGCCACAAAGACCAAAUCAUCAAUAAUAUGUGUCAGAAUCGCUAAUCAGAAGUCAAAACCAUCGGGGAAGCAGACACAGUCGAGGCUGAUGGCUUCACCAAGUCCCUGCACCAACUGACGUUUUACUAUACUUUCCAACUCUACAAUCUUGCACUAACACCUCCAACACUGCAAAUGCACGAACAACCCAAAUAAAAGGCAUACUUCAAAAAUUCUUCAGAGAAAGUGAGGCGGAAUUAUGAAGUCUAUGUAGAGAGUACUAAGAUUUUGAGGUUGUAGGAAACUCUUCCAUCCAGAAGCCCUGAACUCUGUGGAUCAAUUUGAAUACUCAGACUAACAACUCAGGAAACUGGUUUUCUAACCGACAAAAUAGAAAAAAUACGAAAUUAGAUCUGAAGACAGAUUUUCAUGUAGCAUGACAUGCUCUUAUCUUAUAUGCUCUUAUGGUAUAUGCCCUCAAACUUGAUAAUAUGGUAAAACUGUUCACUUAGGAGACUUGAUUGCACACUCUAAUUUGCCAAAGUUUAUAUGCUUGGAAGAGAAAAACUGUAUAACAAAUGGAUAUAAAACCAAAGUACCAAUGAGUGUGCCUCAUCCUUCCCGCCAGGAAGCUCUAUUUAUGAGCAUCAAAUAGACUAUUUCCACUUGGCAGCAAGGCAUACUAAUAGGCACACAAAAAGUUAACCUGUACAUGAUGUUUAUCUCUUAUAAUAUCAUCUUUGCAAAGGGAAAAAAUGCAGAACAACCAAAUAAAAGCUUAGUAUUGUUAUCUAAAACAGUAGUACAUCAUAAAAUCACCUAUCGUAUCAUUUGUUUUCCACCAAAUCUUAUUUCCAUUGUCUAGCAUAACAAAUCAUCACAAAUCAUCGAUCCUCUGAUCAUGAAACAUGCCCAACCAAAAUAUAAAAAGCAGAAAGGUAAUAUAUUCUGGGUGCAUGAUGGAAGGGCAACAUGAGCUAAAUUUUAUUGUCUCAUUUUAAAGUGUAAAGCAUGGAUUGCACAAUUGCACACGGAAAUUAAGGAGAUAUAUGUGCAGAGCAGGGUCCGCACGGACCUUCGGAUCAGCACCACCAAGCAUCAAAUAGAGGCAGAAAGAAAUCCAUGGUAUGUCAGAAAAUUCAGUUGCUAGUUUGCUACUACACCAUGCUUCAUCACACACGUACUACCACACAUCAAAUGUCUGCGGUACAAUUAAGAUAGUUAAACUGGCAGAUCAGGUGGAAAGCAUGGUGCAAAUUUGAAUUUUUGGAACAAUCAUUUGGUUGUAUAGUUUACUUGUAGUAGUUCAUAGAUUAUAAUAUGUCAAUUUUGAGGUAAGGUGACCACAUGGCAAGCAAGAUGUCAUGGAGCAAAUUUGAGGUAAGGUGACCACAUGGCAAGCAAGAUGUCAUGGAGCAAAUUUCAGUGGACAACCGACGAAGUAGAGUGAUAAUUGGGUGCGUACCCGAUCGAGCAUCCAGAGCUUCGCCUAGUUUCUUUCCCUGUCAGACAUCACUUCCCUUCUCCUUGGAGGCUGAAGGACCCCUUUGAAGGAAGUGUCGAAUGUUAAGCUUCAUGGCAUUUUGGCAAGGCCAACAACAUUAACUUGUGGUUCAUUAACAGUACUUAAACUGAUCUACAAAUGUGGCACAUAGAAUGAGUAAGGAGUGAGCUCGCCAGGCUAUGUGGCAUGAGUGUGGUGAGAUGAGAUGGUAAUGAUCUCCAGGGAAAAAAGUGAUGCCAAAAAAAUUCAGUUCAUUGGAGCGAAAUUUGAGAGAAAGAUGAAAUACUUGAGUAAAAAACUAAGCACAAAAUCUUGCCUCAAUCUGCUUGGAUUUUGUCAAAGACAUAACAGGCAUAGAUAAAACAAAAAUCCACAGAAAUAAAGCUGAGAAUUUAUGGGGAUCAAAUCGAGAGGAGGGAGGGAGGGAGAGAUGUGGGUACCUGCGAGGCUGCAACAGGGCAUACGUUCCAUGUGAGCAGCUGCAGCGGCCGCCUACGCUGCUCGCUGCACUUACAGAAGUUAAAGUAGCAGCAUUUUGUGGCGGCGCAACUUGACAUUUGAACUCAAAUUACAAUAGAACAUAGCAGGUCUACGAAAAUGAACAAAUGUACCUGUGGGCAAGAGAAACAGAGCAAGAGACAACGAGAACAUAACACUAA